CCUACGGGGGGCAGCAGUGGGGAAUAUUGCACAAUGGGCGCAAGCCUGAUGCAGCCAUGCCGCGUGUGUGAAGAAGGCCUUCGGGUUGUAAAGCACUUUCAGCGGGGAGGAAGGCGUUAAGGUUAAUAACCUUGGCGAUUGACGUUACCCGCAGAAGAAGCACCGGCUAACUCCGUGCCAGCAGCCGCGGUAAUACGGAGGGUGCAAGCGUUAAUCGGAAUUACUGGGCGUAAAGCGCACGCAGGCGGUCUGUCAGGUCGGAUGUGAAAUCCCCGGGCUCAACCUGGGAACUGCAUUCGAAACUGGCAGGCUAGAGUCUUGUAGAGGGGGGUAGAAUUCCAGGUGUAGCGGUGAAAUGCGUAGAGAUCUGGAGGAAUACCGGUGGCGAAGGCGGCCCCCUGGACAGAGACUGACGCUCAGGUGCGAAAGCGUGGGGAGCAAACAGGAUUAGAUACCCGAGUAGUC
This 465-nucleotide ribosomal RNA is filed under the name uncultured Klebsiella sp. RNAcentral's name for it is "bacterial SSU rRNA". It matches the Rfam family "Bacterial small subunit ribosomal RNA", at positions 338 to 795 of the family's 1533-position model. Lineage: Bacteria; Pseudomonadati; Pseudomonadota; Gammaproteobacteria; Enterobacterales; Enterobacteriaceae. The record is from RNAcentral.